UACGAAGGGUGCAAGCGUUACUCGGAAUUACUGGGCGUAAAGCGUGCGUAGGUGGUUCGUUAAGUCUGAUGUGAAAGCCCUGGGCUCAACCUGGGAAUGGCAUUGGAAACUGGCGACCUAGAGUGCGGUAGAGGGUAGUGGAAUUCCCGGUGUAGCAGUGAAAUGCGCAGAUAUCAGGAAGAACACCCGUGGCGAAGGCGGCUCUCUGGGACGGUACUGACGCUGAGACGCGAAAGCGUGGGGAGCGAACAGG
RNAcentral lists this ribosomal RNA (253 nucleotides) under uncultured bacterium. RNAcentral describes it as "partial 16S ribosomal RNA". It matches the Rfam family "Bacterial small subunit ribosomal RNA", at positions 524 to 776 of the family's 1533-position model. The record is from RNAcentral.